Molecule: ribosomal RNA, 540 nt
Filed under: uncultured Geobacteraceae bacterium
Lineage: Bacteria; Pseudomonadati; Thermodesulfobacteriota; Desulfuromonadia; Geobacterales; Geobacteraceae
Description: bacterial SSU rRNA
Rfam family: Bacterial small subunit ribosomal RNA
Source: RNAcentral
GAGUUUGAUCCUGGCUCAGAACGAACGCUGGCGGCGUGCCUAACACAUGCAAGUCGAACGUGAUCCAGAGCUUGCUUUGGUGAAAGUGGCGCACGGGUGAGUAACGCGUGGAUAACCUACCCUGGUAUCCGGGAUAACAUUCCGAAAGGGGUGCUAAUACCGGAUAAGCCCACGGGCUCUUUGGAGCUUGCGGGAAAAGGUGGCCUCUAUUUAUAAGCUACUGUAUCAGGAUGGGUCCGCGUACCAUUAGCUAGUUGGCGGUGUAACGGACCACCAAGGCGACGAUGGUUAGCUGGUCUGAGAGGAUGAUCAGCCACACUGGAACUGAGACACGGUCCAGACUCCUACGGGAGGCAGCAGUGGGGAAUUUUGCGCAAUGGGGGAAACCCUGACGCAGCAACGCCGCGUGAGUGAUGAAGGCCUUUGGGUCGUAAAGCUCUGUCAGAGGGGAAGAAAUGAUAUAGUGCUAAUACCACUUUAUCUUGACGGUACCCUCAAAGGAAGCACCGGCUAACUCCGUGCCAGCAGCCGCGGUAAUAC